CCCUAGUAACGGCGAGUGAAGCGGCAACAGCUCAAAUUUGAAAUCUGGCUUCGGCCCGAGUUGUAAUUUGCAGAGGAUGCUUCUGGCGCGGUGCCUUCCGAGUUCCCUGGAACGGGACGCCACAGAGGGUGAGAGCCCCGUAUGGUCGGACACCAAGCCUGUGUGAAGCUCCUUCGACGAGUCGAGUAGUUUGGGAAUGCUGCUCUAAAUGGGAGGUAAAUCUCUUCUAAAGCUAAAUACCGGCCAGAGACCGAUAGCGCACAAGUAGAGUGAUCGAAAGAUGAAAAGCACCUUGAAAAGGGGGUUAAAUAGUACGUGAAAUUGUUGAAAGGGAAGCGUUUAUGACCAGACUUGCGCCGGGCGGCUCAUCAGGGGUUCUCCCCUGUGCAUUCCGCCCGGCUCAGGCCAGCAUCGGUUCUCGUGGGGGGAUAAGACCGCCGGGAACGUAGCACCCUCCGGGGUGUGUUAUAGCCCGGCGGACGAUACCCUCGUGGGGACCGAGGUUCGCGCUCCGCAAGGAUGCUGGCGUAAUGGUCAUCAGCGACCCGUCUUGAAACACGGACCAAGGAGUCGUCCAUUAGAGCGAGCGUUUGGGUGUAAAACCCGCACGCGUAAUGAAAGUGAACGCAGGUGAGAGCUUCGGCGCAUCAUCGACCGAUCCUGAUGUUCUCGGAAGGAUUUGAGUAAGAGUUUUAACGGACGGACCCGAAAGACAGUGAACUAUGCUUGUAUAGGGUGAAGCCAGAGGAAACUCUGGUGGAGGCUCGCAGCGGUUCUGACGUGCAAAUCGAUCGUCAAAUAUGAGCAUGGGGGCGAAAGACUAAUCGAACU
Molecule: ribosomal RNA, 831 nt
Filed under: Diaporthe fusicola
Lineage: Eukaryota; Fungi; Ascomycota; Sordariomycetes; Diaporthales; Diaporthaceae
Description: eukaryotic LSU rRNA
Rfam family: Eukaryotic large subunit ribosomal RNA
Source: RNAcentral